CCUACGGGUGGCAGCAGUGGGGAAUAUUGGACAAUGGGGGCAACCCUGAUCCAGCCAUGCCGCGUGUGUGAAGAAGGCCCUCGGGUUGUAAAGCACUUUCAGUGAGGAAGAACGCCUGGUGGUUAAUACCCAUCAGGAAAGACAUCACUCACAGAAGAAGCACCGGCUAACUCCGUGCCAGCAGCCGCGGUAAUACGGAGGGUGCGAGCGUUAAUCGAAAUUACUGGGCGUAAAGCGCGCGUAGGUGGCUUGAUAAGCCGGUUGUGAAAGCCCCGGGCUCAACCUGGGAACGGCAUCCGGAACUGUCAAGCUAGAGUGCAGGCGAGGAAGGUAGAAUUCCCGGUGUAGCGGUGAAAUGCGUAGAGAUCGGGAGGAAUACCAGUGGCGAAGGCGGCCUUCUGGACUGACACUGACACUGAGGUGCGAAAGCGUGGGUAGCAAACAGGAUUAGAUACCCUGGUAGUC
Molecule: ribosomal RNA, 465 nt
Filed under: Vreelandella stevensii
Lineage: Bacteria; Pseudomonadati; Pseudomonadota; Gammaproteobacteria; Oceanospirillales; Halomonadaceae
Description: partial 16S ribosomal RNA
Rfam family: Bacterial small subunit ribosomal RNA
Source: RNAcentral